Molecule: ribosomal RNA, 490 nt
Filed under: uncultured bacterium
Lineage: Bacteria
Description: partial 16S ribosomal RNA
Rfam family: Bacterial small subunit ribosomal RNA
Source: RNAcentral
AAUGAACGUUGGCGGCAUGGAUUAGGCAUGCAAGUCGAGCGAGAAGAGUUUUGAAGCUUGCUUUAGAACUCGGACAGCGGCGAAAGGGAGAGUAACGCGUAGUUAUGUGCCCUAGGGUCCGGAAUAGCCACGGGAAACUGUGGGUAAUGCCGGAUAAUAUCCCCGGAUCAAAGGUGUGAUUCCGCCCUAGGAGCAGACUGCGUCCUACUAGCUAGUUGGUGGGGUAAUGGCCUACCAAGGCAACGAUGGGUAGCGGGUGUGAGAGCAUGACCCGUCUGACUGGGACUGAGACACUGCCCAGGCACCUACGGGUGGCUGCAGUCGAGAAUCUUCGGCAAUGGGCGAAAGCCUGACCGAGCGAUGCCGCGUGCGGGAUGAAGGCCCCCGGGUUGUAAACCGCUGUCGUAGGGGGGGAAGGUUCCGUGAAGAGCGGAAUUUGACCUAUCCUAGGAGGAAGUACGGGCUAAGUUCGUGCCAGCCGCCGCCGUAA